Molecule: ribosomal RNA, 447 nt
Filed under: uncultured bacterium
Lineage: Bacteria
Description: bacterial SSU rRNA
Rfam family: Bacterial small subunit ribosomal RNA
Source: RNAcentral
UCCAGACUCCUACGGGAGGCAGCAGUGGGGAAUAUUGCGCAAUGGGGGCAACCCUGACGCAGCAACGCCGCGUGAUUGAAGAAGGCCUUCGGGUUGUAAAGAUCUUUAAUCAGGGACGAAAAAUGACGGUACCUGAAGAAUAAGCCCCGGCUAACUAUGUGCCAGCAGCCGCGGUAAUACAUAGGGGGCAAGCGUUAUCCGGAAUUAUUGGGUGUAAAGGGUGCGUAGACGGAAGAACAAGUUGGUUGUGAAAUCCCUCGGCUCAACUGAGGAACUGCAACCAAAACUAUUCUCCUUGAGUGUCGGAGAGGAAAGUGGAAUUCCUAGUGUAGCGGUGAAAUGCGUAGAUAUUAGGAGGAACACCAGUGGCGAAGGCGACUUUCUGGACGAUAACUGACGUUGAGGCACGAAAGUGUGGGGAGCAAACAGGAUUAGAUACCCUAGUAA